This 253-nucleotide ribosomal RNA is filed under the name uncultured bacterium. RNAcentral's name for it is "partial 16S ribosomal RNA". It matches the Rfam family "Bacterial small subunit ribosomal RNA", at positions 524 to 776 of the family's 1533-position model. The record is from RNAcentral.
UACGUAGGUGGCAAGCGUUGUCCGGAAUUAUUGGGCGUAAAGCGCGCGCAGGCGGUCCUUUAAGUCUGAUGUGAAAGCCCACGGCUCAACCGUGGAGGGUCAUUGGAAACUGGGGGACUUGAGUGCAGAAGAGGAAAGCGGAAUUCCACGUGUAGCGGUGAAAUGCGUAGAGAUGUGGAGGAACACCAGUGGCGAAGGCGGCUUUCUGGUCUGUAACUGACGCUGAGGCGCGAAAGUGUGGGGAGCAAACAGG